AGGCAAAGGCAGGGCCAAGCCUGCCCGCUACUCUGGGCCCUGACCCAGGGAGGUGAUAGCUGGCAGCCGCUCACUGCCUCUCCUUCCCCUCUGCCACUACCUGCUUUCCCUGGGCCACUUCCCCGUAGCCCCAGCACCUACUCGGCCCCUGUGUCGAGGCCACAGUCUGGGAGCCAGCCAGGCUGGAGCUCCGCCUGCUCCCCUGACACUGCCCAGCACUGCUCUGUCCCAGGCCCUGGACCACUGUG
Chelonia mydas (Green sea turtle) is the source of this 248-nucleotide long non-coding RNA. RefSeq lists it as uncharacterized. The transcript has 3 exons. The record is from RefSeq and is a predicted model, not a curated record. NCBI's taxonomy places the organism in Eukaryota, Metazoa, Chordata, Testudines, Cheloniidae.